Molecule: ribosomal RNA, 407 nt
Filed under: uncultured bacterium
Lineage: Bacteria
Description: bacterial SSU rRNA
Rfam family: Bacterial small subunit ribosomal RNA
Source: RNAcentral
UAGGGAAUAUUGCGCAAUGGGCGAAAGCCUGACGCAGCGACGCCGCGUGAGUGAUGAAGGCCUUAGGGUCGUAAAGCUCUGUUGUACGGGAAGAAAAAAAUGACGGUACCGUAUAAGAAAGGAUCGGCUAACUUCGUGCCAGCAGCCGCGGUAAGACGAGGGAUCCUAGCGUUGUUCGGAAUCAUUGGGCGUAAAGGGUGCGUAGGUGGCUAUGUAAGUCAGUUGUGAAAUCCCCGGGCUCAACCCGGGAAGUGCUUCUGAUACUGCGUAGCUUGAAUAUUGGAGAGGUGAGUGGAAUUCCAGGUGUAGUGGUGAAAUACGUAGAUAUCUGGAGGAACACCGGCGGCGAAGGCGGCUCACUGGCCAUAUAUUGACACUGAAGCACGAAAGCGUGGGGAGCAAACAGG